This 464-nucleotide ribosomal RNA is filed under the name Vreelandella stevensii. RNAcentral describes it as "partial 16S ribosomal RNA". It matches the Rfam family "Bacterial small subunit ribosomal RNA", at positions 338 to 795 of the family's 1533-position model. The record is from RNAcentral. Lineage: Bacteria; Pseudomonadati; Pseudomonadota; Gammaproteobacteria; Oceanospirillales; Halomonadaceae.
CCUAGGGAGGCUGCAGUGGGGAAUAUUGGACAAUGGGCGAAAGCCUGAUCCAGCCAUGCCGCGUGUGUGAAGAAGGCCUUCGGGUUGUAAAGCACUUUCAGUGGGGAAGAAAGCCUUGGGGCUAAUACCCUCGAGGAAGGACAUCACCCACAGAAGAAGCACCGGCUAACUCCGUGCCAGCAGCCGCGGUAAUACGGAGGGUGCGAGCGUUAAUCGGAAUUACUGGGCGUAAAGCGCGCGUAGGCGGUCUGAUAAGCCGGUUGUGAAAGCCCCGGGCUCAACCUGGGAACGGCAUCCGGAACUGUCAGGCUAGAGUGCAGGAGAGGAAGGUAGAAUUCCCGGUGUAGCGGUGAAAUGCGUAGAGAUCGGGAGGAAUACCAGUGGCGAAGGCGGCCUUCUGGACUGACACUGACGCUGAGGUGCGAAAGCGUGGGUAGCAAACAGGAUUAGAUACCCCUGUAGUC